AUGACUCCGGCGUGUUUCACUAAUGUCAGGCCAAAAAUACGCCGCCGAGAGCUGCUUCAAACUAGAGAACAAAAACAGGGCUCUUUCCUGGUUUUAUUGAUCAGAGUCGAGGAAAAGUCACGUUUAGCAGCAGAUGAAGAGCUAAUGACUGAAACACCACCAGAGAUCAGCUCUGAAGAAGAUCCCAGACUCGUCUUUCUUCAACCUGAAAUCAGACGUCUUAAUGCACAUCCCACGAGGCCCGGCAGAGAGAACGAGCAGAAACACAAGAACGAAUAAAAGUCAAGAUAGUGUGGAGUCUGAGAGUUUGCUGGAGAACUAGGACAAAGCCAAGGAUUCAAAGAAACUCAGGCUUUUUCCAUAAAGAUCCUUUAACAUCUGAAGAACCUUGAAGUUUCACAAAAGCUUCUUUGUGACGAAUGAAGGUUCUGCAGAUUAUAAAAAGGUAAGAAAGAGAUGCUUCUUUGUGGAACCAGAAACGGUUCUUCUAUAGCAUCGCUGUGAAGAAGCUUUUAAGCACCUGUAUUUUUUAGAGUGUACUAAAAUGAAUUCAGAUAUUAAGUUUUAAAAAUUAUGAUAAAAGAAGGAGUGAGUUUGAUUAAAACAGAAAUAAACAUUCAAUCAAAACAAGAUUUUUCUGACUCCACUGGCAGAUUUGUUUCUUGUUCUUAACUAUGAAAUCAAUACAAAUGUUAAAUCUUAUUUUCAAAAAAAGUAGCAAUUAGCUGAGUCAGAAAAAAAACCUUAUUCAUAGAAAAAACAAGAUAAUUUUUCAGACCCCAAUGGAUGAUUUUUGUCUUGUUUUAAACAUAGGCUACACUCACUAAAGAUUUUGUCUCAUUUUAUUUAAAAAAAUAAAUAAAUUAUAUAUAUAUAUAUAUAUAUAUAAAUUAAGAGAGUUUGAACUUAUAUUUUCUUGUUUUAAGCAUGAACUCACUUAAGAUUUGGAGUCCUGUUUUCUGAAAACCACAUCAAAAUUAAAUGAUUUUAUGCAUAAACCAAAAAAAAAAUUGUUUUUGAAUUAAGUUUAUUUUUCUAACCCCACUGACACACGUGUCCUUGUUUUAAACAAACUCACUGAAGUUCACUUUAGUCUUAUUUUCUGAAAAGUACAUACGAUAAAGUGAGUUUAUGCUUAUUUCUUCUUGUUGCAAGCAUAAAAUCACUUCAUUUUGAUACAUUUUUUUAGAAAAUCAAUACGUUUUUAAAAUUUUAAAAAAAAAAAAUGAAGUGAUUUUAUGCUUAAAACAAGAAGUUGAUUUUUCUAAUUGUUCGUUUUAGUUAUAAACUCACUUAAGAUUUUAAGUCUCAUUUUAUAUAUAUAUAUAUAUAUAUAUAUAUAUAAAAGGUGUCAAAAUUAAGAGUUUGACCUCAUGAACUCACAUAAGAUUCGAAGCCCAAUUUUCUAAAAACUGCUUCAAAAUUAAGUGAGUUUAUGCUUAAAACAAGAAAGAAAGAAUAAGGUCAAACUCUCUUAAUUUUGACACUUUUUUUUUUUUAAAUGAGACUUAAAAUCUUAAGAGAGUUUAUGCUUAAAACAAGAAAAAAUAUCUGCCAAUAGUGAAUGAAAAAUGAACUCGUUUUUUCUUUGAAUUAAGUAAGGCUACUAAUCAUCCUUGUCUUAAUUAUAAGCUCACUUAAAAUUUUAAGCAUUAUUUUCUGACAUAUAAAAAUCAGGUCAUCUAAAUUAAGUAUUUAAGUAUUUAAUUUAAUAUUUGUAAUUCUAAGAGAAUGAUUUUUUGCCGUGUGUCAGCCUCGUGGGACGUGCCACUGUUUCUAAACGCUCGGGUUCAGAGCAAACCUAGCGCUCAUCAUCGAUCGCUGCGAUUACUCAAGGACAGAAAACUAGAUUCCUACCGAGAGGUCGUGACCCCUCCCUACCGCCAGCUGAUUUGCAUAUAGUUCACUUUUAACACCAAGUCACCACGACGACAACAAACGUGAACGAGCCGCUCCUCGUGGAAGAGAAGUUCAUCACAUGAUCAGGAGCCUCAUUAUUGGGCAGUAGUGCUACCUGACACACCGACACGUCAUCGUCUGCGAGGAAGCUAUAGUCUUCAUCACCUAUAGAAACACCACAAAACCUCACAGCCGAGAGAAACGCUACCAUUGGUUACGAAAGCAAUGCCGAAGACUUGGUUACGAAACGAUUUCACAGAUUAGCCGUCAGAGGAAGAUACUUCUGUUGAUUUACAUCGAGAAUAAAAAUAAUAAAACCCUGUCGCACAAAUAUACCUACAACGAAUCCGUUCUUAAAAUGCCAGAUCAGUGCGGAUUGUCACAAGAUUAGACUGAACGAUAAAGAAGCUUGUGCUGUAAUAAAUCAUUUUGUCAGAGCAUUAAUGAUGCGCUCACACCAUAUCGCAAAUAUUACUGCAAAUAUCAGCUUCUGAGUGACAAACAUCACAUCUUUACAAAAGAUUUUGUGACGUCAAAACAGGCAAAAUGUCAUUCAGAUUCUAGUCGUGUGCAUACGAUGCAUUUUAUAAACGCUUCAGCUUUCUUUAAGAGCACACAGAGCUAAAAAUCAAUGCUCUGAUGGAGCUUUUCACGGUUGCAAAAACUUCCAGAAUUUUUGGAAACCUUCCGGGAGUUUUUGGAAAGUUUUUGAAAAUUUACAGGAAACUUUCCACCCCUUUAGAACAACAAGAAAGCAACACAUAGAUUCGUUUUAGCAUUACAUGCAUUAUAAAUUAAAAAGCAUAAAUCCUGCACACUACUCAAGUUUGCAUAAUCAUAGAAAUUUUAAUGAGCAACAUUUUGGCAAAUCAACCUUUCUCAGGCAGCACAUCAUUUAAAUUGAGUACAAUCAGCUGUUAGUAAUAAAUAAAAAAAAAAAUGUAAAUGUGUUUAAUUUAAUCGGAGGCAAGGCGAUUUAUUACUAACAGCUGAUUGCACUCAAUUUAAGUGAUGUUCUCACACUUUUAUAUGGUUUGUAAGCCUAAGGGAGAUCAAUUGACUGAAACGUUGCUCAUUAAAAUUUCUGACCAUGCAAAACGUGUUCAUGUGUUUCUGUAAUUUAACUAGAAAAACUGACUGAUUGAUUGAUUUGGAUGUGCGAGGCA
Cyprinus carpio carpio is the source of this 3065-nucleotide long non-coding RNA. The record is from Ensembl. NCBI's taxonomy places the organism in Eukaryota, Metazoa, Chordata, Actinopteri, Cypriniformes, Cyprinidae.